GCGGCGUAAGCAAGCGUGACGUCAGCCGGCGGCGCGCUGCCUGCACUGGUACCGGGCCUGUUCUCAGAUACAGAGUUGCCGGCCACCAGGGUGAGUUCGCAGCCAAUUCCCGUCUACCAGCUCGGAUUGGCGAGGUUAGCCGCUUGGAUCGCCCGGCGGUCGCCUCCGGCAGAACAGACGGCUCUGCGCUGUCCUCUGGGAUCCUGCUUGAGUCAGUGCUUUACAUAAGUUCUCAAUGCUCACCAUAAAGUUCAGCAAUGCCAACUGUUGAGAGUGAAGCCAAGGUAAAAACCAAAGUUCGCUUUGAAGAAUUAUUUAAGACCCACAAUGAUCUAAUACGUGAAAGGAAAAAACUGAAGAAAAAACUCAGAGAAAACAUCUCACUUGACACUGUUAAAAGCAACCCUCAGAGUAUUAAAGAAGCUAAAAGUGACAACGUGAGCUAUACUAGCACUAAUAAGCCAGAAAAAAGUGUGGGUGUCACUAAAAACAAACUGAGGAAAGCACAGUCAGCCACUAAAGAUCCAAAUGAUGGUGUUAGUGAAGAGAAAGACAAGGAAGGGAAGCCGAACAAAAAAGUUCCAAAUGCUGCACAAGAAAUGGAACCGGAGACUCCUGAGAAGAAGGCAGAUUCCAUGUAUCAGAAAGCACGAACAAAGUCACAGUCAGGUGUUGAUUAUCAGAAUCUUGGGAAGGCAAAUGAGGGGAGAGAAAACAGUGAUUUAUUAAAAGAGGAAGAAGAACUGAUGCAAGGCUAUCAGCUCCAGGCAGCUGAAGAGAUGGCAAAGGAGAUUAAGAAAAAAAUAAGAAAGAAACUAAAUGAACAGUUGACUAACUCUUCUUCAGAUGCUUUAUUGCCUGAUGACAAAUUGAGCAGCGAUAAAAGAAAAAAGAAGAAAAGGAAAGUUCCACUCCUGUCUAAAGCUGAUCUAAGCACAUUGACUAUCCCUGAUGAUGCAGUGGCAGGUGAACAAAAGAAGGAAUCUCCAGUUGGACCUAUUACUUCAAAUUCUCACCAAGAUGGUGAAAUGAGCUCAGUGGAACAAAAUGUGGAUGACAACGUGGCAGAGAACACAAAAUCCAAACCAAAAAAAACAAAAAGGAAGGCUAAAGCAGUUUCAGAUAAUGAAGAAAUUGAUAGAGAUGGUGUUCAUGAAGUAACAAGCCAAGAUAGUCCAGUUUAUGCCAAAAGUUUGCCUAAUGAUGGCCUUGUCUUAGGAGUUUACAUUCACCGAACUGAUCGACUUAAGUCAGAUUUUAUGAUUUCUCACCCAGUGGUAAAAAUUCAUGUGGUUGAUGAGAAAACUGGUCAAUAUGUCAAGAAAGAUGAUAGUGAGCAUCCUGUGUCAUCUUACUAUGAAAAAGAGAAUGUGGAUUAUAUUCUUCCUAUCAUGACACAACCAUAUGAUUUUAAACAGUUAACAUCAAGACUUCCAGAGUGGGAGGAACAAAUUAUAUUUAAUGAAAAAUUUCCCUAUUUGCUUCAAGAUUUUGAUGAGGGUCCUAAGGUGAUCCUUUUUUUUGAGAUUCUUGAUUUUUUAAGCAUGAAUGAAGUUAAGAAUAACUCUGAAGUCCGAAACCAAGAAUGUGGCUUUCGGAAAAUUGCCUGGGCCUUUCUUAAGCUUCUGGGAGCCAAUGGAAAUGCAAAUAUCAAUUCAAAACUUCGCUUGCAGCUGUACUACCCCCCUGCUAAGCCUCGAUCUCAGUUAAAUGUCAUUGAGGUUUUUGAAUGGUGGUCCAGAUGUCCAAGAAAUCGUUAUCCAUCAACGUUGUAUGUAACUAUACGAGGUCUGAAAGUUCCAGAUGGUAUAAAGCUGUCUUACCAAUCUAUGAUGGCUCUUCAGGAAGAGAAAGGUAAAUCAGAACAUUAUGAACAUCACCGUGAGUCAACUUCAGUAGACACAGAGCCUGGAUUAGAAGAUUCGAAGAAAAUAGUAGAGUGGAAACGACUACCUGGACAGGCUUGCCGUAUCCCAAACAAGCACCUCUUCUCACUAAAUGCAGGAGAACGAGGAUGUUUUUGUCUUGAUUUCUCCCAUAAUGGAAGGAUAUUAGCAGCAGCCUGUGCCAGCCGGGAUGGAUAUCCAAUUAUAUUAUAUGAAAUUCCUUCUGGACGUUUCAUGAGAGAAUUGUGUGGCCACCUCAAUAUCAUUUAUGACCUUUCCUGGUCAAAAGAUGAUCGCUAUAUCCUUACUUCAUCGUCUGAUGGCACUGCCAGGAUAUGGAAAAAUGAAAUAAAUACUACAAAUACUUUCAGAGUUUUGCCUCAUCCUGCUUUUGUUUACACGGCUAAAUUUCAUCCAGCUGUAAGAGAGCUGGUGAUUACAGGAUGCUAUGAUUCUGUGAUACGGGCAUGGAAAGUUGAUAUGAGAGAAUGUUCUGCUGUAUUGGUCCAACAAUUUGAUGCUCACAAGAGUUUUAUCAACUCUCUCUGUUUUGAUGCUGAAGGUCAUCACAUGUAUUCCGGAGAUUGCACAGGAGUGAUUAUUGUGUGGAAUACUUACGUCAAUGUUAAUGAUUUGCAACAUUCAGUGUGCCACUGGACUAUAAAUAAGGAAAUUAAAGAAACUGAAUUUAAGGGGAUUCCAAUAACUUAUUUGGAGGUUCAUCCCAAUGGAAAACAUUUGUUAAUUCAUACCAAAGACAGUACUUUGAGAAUUAUGGAUCUCCGAAUAUUAGCAGCAAGAAAAUUUCUAGGUGCAGCAAAUUAUCGGGAGAAGAUUCACAGUACUUUGACGCCAUGUGGAACUUUCCUCUUUGCUGGAAGUGAGGAUGGCAGAGUAUAUGUUUGGAACCCAGAAACAGGGGAACAAGUAGCAAUGUAUUCUGACCUGCCAUUGAAGUCACCCAUUCGAGACAUUUCUUAUCAUCCUUUUGAAAAUAUGGUUGCAUUUUGUGCAUUUGGACAGAAUGAGCCAAUUCUUCUUUAUAUUUAUGAUUUCAGUGUAGCCCAGCAGGAGGCUAAAAUGUUCAGAUGCUACAGUGCAACAUUGCCAUUACCUGGAAAACACCAAAGUCAAGAUGCUCUGUGUACCUGUCCUAAAUUACCUCAGCAAGGCUCUUUUCAGAUUGGUGAAUUUGUACACACUGAAAAUUCUUCCCCAAAGAUGCAGAUAGUGAAACAGAGACUUGAAACUGUCACAGAGGUGAUACGAUCCUGUGCUGUAAAAGUCAACAAAAAUCUCACGCUUACUUCACCACCUCCAGCCUCCUCACAACAGUCUAAGUUACAACAGUCAAACAUGCUGACCGCUGAUGAGAUGCUGCAUCAGUUUGGUUUCACUCAGACCGGGAAUAUCAGCAUAGAAAGAAGGCCUUGUAACCAUCAGGUAGAUUCAGCACCAACGGUAGUGGCUCUUUAUGACUACACAGCGAGCCGAUCAGAUGAACUAACCAUCCAUCGCGGAGACAUUAUCCGAGUGUUUUUCAAAGAUAAUGAAGACUGGUGGUAUGGCAGCAUAGGAAAGGGACAGGAAGGCUAUUUUCCAGCUAAUCAUGUGGCUAGUGAAACACUGUAUCAGGAACUGCCUCCAGAAAUAAAGAAGCGAUCCCCUCCUUUGACCCCCAAGGAAAAAACCAAAACAGAAAAACCUGCAGCUCCUCAAAAGCAGUCAGUCAAUAAGAGCAAGUCCCAGGAUUUCAGACUAGACUCACAGUCUAGAACACAUUCUGAAAUGGGCAAAGGACAAAGCCGUGAGGACAGGGGACACACAAUGGAUAUGCAGGCAAAGAAGAAUGAGCCUACAGGCUGAAAAGUCACCCUCUAGAGUGCUGAGGAUUGAACCCAAGGCCUUACACAUGUAGUAAAGAGUUGAAGAAGAAUGAAGACACAACCAAAUACAGAAAUGAAAUAGAAAAUUAAACCAAAUGGAAUUUCUCUUUAGAGUUCAAAAUUUUAAGAUACUAAGAAAGAAAAGAAGGAUCCACUACUUCUCCCUAUGAAAAAUCUAGAAAAAUCUGAAGCAGUAUAUGAAUAGAAAAAUCACUGCAUUUGAACUUAAUUGUUAUAAACCAUUGUAAUUGUUGUUGGUCAAAGUAUUGGUACUUGUGUUAUUAGUAACUGCCUUAAAUUUACAUUACCACUGUUGGAAAACCAUUAAAAAAUGCCUCUCAGCAAAUGUGAAUAAAAAGCGUUUGCAUUGUUACAAUGUCCAUUAGAUAAUCAUUCAUAUUGCAUCUAGAAUAUGGUUGUAUGUGUGAUGUUACACUCAGAAUAUGAAGUUACUGUUUUUGAAACUGACUUUAUCUAGAAGAUAAGCAGCUUCAGAAUGUUGUGUAUUCAAAAUAGUCACAAUGACAAAGAAAUUAUAAAGGAAAUAAUUUGCUUUUUUAAAUCAUAAUUUUAUAGCUGGACAUGAUGAUCCACACCUAUAAUCCCAGCACUCAGGAGGCUGAGGCAGGAGAAUCACCACAAGUUAGAAGCUGGCCUGGGCUACGUGGUGUGAUCAAGGCCAGCCUGAACUACAUAGUGGGACCCUGUCUGAAACAAAAACGUAACACUUUGUGUUUGUGCUGAGUCACAUAUGUAACUUGAUCCACCUAAACUAAAAGUGAAUUUUGUUGGAACUGACAACAGUGUUCCAUAUUACUUUUUUUAAAGGGCAGUUCACUUUACACAGAUAAGUAAUUUGUAAACUUUAUUGUUUAAUAUUUACUCUUCAAAUUCAUUUUAAGUUAUUACAUUAUUUCUGUAUCCAGAAUAACAGUGUCAUUAUCACAUGACUAUAUGUUUUGAAGCUUGAUGUAAUAGUGAAAUUCUCAUUUGUUUUUUCUUGAUUAUUCUUUCUCAAAUAUAUGAUAAAUCUGCCAAUAAAAUAUUUAGCACCAAGAAGGUCAAAAGUAAUAUAAAUUUUUAAUACUUAUUUACCAUAUUAAACAAUGGAUUCCAUUAAAAUAAGAAGUGAGAAAAACAGAGUUGGGCGUUGAGGUGUAAAUUUUGUCCAGAUGCAUACCCAAUGUGUGUAGUAAAGUAUAUUGGGCUAUAAUAUCCCUGCACAUGUUGCAGAAGCAUCAAAAUUGGUAAACACUGCCCUACUGCAGAGAACAUUCACAAACAAGGCCCUUUCAGAAGUGUGAGUAGGGCCGGGGAUUUAGCUCAGUGAUUCUCCUGCCUGCCUUACAAGUGCAAGGUCCCGAGUUCGAUCCCCAGUACCAAAAAAAAAAAAAGAAGUGUGAGUGCCCGCAGCCCUCUGUGCACAGUCCGCUGUGACAGUGCCAGGCGUCCCAGUCCUGGAUGCUCCAUCGGGGCCUCAAACACUGCUGGGCCCAGGCUGCUUGCACUGCCCUUGGACGAGUUUUCUUGUCUUGUGAAUGCACUUGAUAAUUUAAGAAUAAAGACACAGUAUAUGUUUCCCUGCA
Non-coding RNA from Heterocephalus glaber (naked mole-rat), 5358 nucleotides. The record is from RefSeq and is a predicted model, not a curated record. NCBI's taxonomy places the organism in Eukaryota, Metazoa, Chordata, Mammalia, Rodentia, Bathyergidae.